Molecule: transfer RNA, 76 nt
Filed under: SAR202 cluster bacterium AD-804-J14_MRT_500m
Lineage: Bacteria; Bacillati; Chloroflexota; Dehalococcoidia
Description: tRNA-Thr
Rfam family: tRNA
About the family: Transfer RNA (tRNA) molecules are approximately 80 nucleotides in length. Their secondary structure includes four short double-helical elements and three loops (D, anti-codon, and T loops).
Source: RNAcentral
GCCCCAGUGGCGCAAUGGUAGCGCAGCCGACUUGUAAUCGGCAGGCUGGUGGGUUCGAGUCCCCCCUGGGGCUCCA